This 968-nucleotide ribosomal RNA is filed under the name Cyrtolophosis mucicola. RNAcentral describes it as "partial small subunit ribosomal RNA". It matches the Rfam family "Bacterial small subunit ribosomal RNA", at positions 524 to 1488 of the family's 1533-position model. The record is from RNAcentral. Lineage: Eukaryota; Ciliophora; Colpodea; Cyrtolophosidida; Cyrtolophosididae.
UACAUGAGUGACAAGCGUUAUUCGUAAUUAUUGGGUGUAAAGCGUGCGUAGAUUAUAAAAGAAAUUAUUUUUACUAGAAUGGUUUCAGGUUUUAAAUAAUACCUUUUCAUUUGAAUUUUUUUAAAAUAAACAUAAUUUGUAAAUUAGUGAUUAAAUACAGAAAAUUUACAAGAAAUUCCUUAUACGAAGGUAGUUUAUUUAAUUGAAUUGACAUUGAUGCACUAAAGUGUAGAUACCGACUAGGAUUAGAGACCCUAUUAGCCUACACUGUAAACUAUGAGUAUUAAAUCUUUUUGAUUUAAGCUAACGCGAUAAAUACUCCACCUGGGCAGUACAGUCGCAAGGUUGAAACUUAACUGAAUUGGCGGGAAUCUGUUCAAACGGUGGAACAUGUGGUUUAAUGCGAUAAUCCACGCAUAAUCUUACCAACAUUAUAGUAAUAUUUUUAAUUUUUAGAAAAAUUAACUUUGUUACUUAAAGUACUGCACGGCUGUCGUCAGUUCGUGUCUUGAAAUGUAGAAUUAAGUUUUAUAACGAACGCAACCCCCUUGAUUAGUUUUAAUAAAUUUUUUAGAAAAUUUUUUUUCUAAUAUUUUUAUUUUCUAAUUUUAAGAUUAUUGGAGGUAAGGGCUGAAGUCAAGUCUUCAUGGUCUGUAUAUGUUGGGCUACACACGUGUUACAAUGGUGAAAACAAAAAGUUACAAAUGUUUAAUCUGGAGUAAAACUUAAAAAAUCACCUCAGUUCGAAUUGUUUUCUGAAACUCGAAAGCAUGAAGAUGAAAUCGUAAGUAAUCGUAAAAUAGUAUGUUACGGUGAAUUAUAAGUCAGAUUUUGCACACACCGCCCAUCACGCUCUGAGAGUUGGACUGUUCUGAAGAUGUAAUUUUUUUUAAAUUUCGUAUUACGAUAAAUUUUUUAUUUUAAAAAAAGUGAACUUGAACGGCGGUUUGGUAAUUUGAGUGAAGUUG